RNAcentral lists this ribosomal RNA (373 nucleotides) under uncultured organism. Its description in RNAcentral is "partial 16S ribosomal RNA". It matches the Rfam family "Bacterial small subunit ribosomal RNA", at positions 527 to 896 of the family's 1533-position model. The record is from RNAcentral.
GUAGGUGGCGAACGUUGUCCGGAUUCACUGGGCGUAAAGCGCGCGCAGGCGGACUGGUCAGUCCAGGGGUGAAAUCUCCCGGGCUCAACUGGGAGGAGUCCCCGGAUACUGCCAGCCUUGAGGUGCCUAGAGGAGAGUGGAAUUCUGGGUGUAGUGGUGGAAUGCGUAGAUAUCCGGAGGAACACCAGUGGCGAAAGCGACUCUCUGGGGGCAACCUGACGCUGAGGCGCGAAAGCGUGGGGAGCGAACCGGAUUAGAUACCCGGGUAGUCCACGCCGUAAACGAUGAGUACUAGCUGUAUGGGGUAUCGACUCCCUGUGUAGCGAAGCUAACGCGAUAAGUACUCCGCCUGGGGACUACGGCCGCAAGGCUA